RNAcentral lists this ribosomal RNA (475 nucleotides) under uncultured organism. RNAcentral describes it as "partial 16S ribosomal RNA". It matches the Rfam family "Bacterial small subunit ribosomal RNA", at positions 331 to 797 of the family's 1533-position model. The record is from RNAcentral.
GUACACUCCUGCGGGAGGCAGCAGUGGGGAAUUUCGGACAAUGGGCGAAAGCCUGAUCCAGCCAUGCCGCGUGCAGGAUGAAGGCCUUCGGGUUGUAAACUGCUUUUGUACGGAACGAAACGGCCUUUUCUAAUAAAGAGGGCUAAUGACGGUACCGUAAGAAUAAGCACCGGCUAACUACGUGCCAGCAGCCGCGGUAAUACGUAGGGUGCAAGCGUUAAUCGGAAUUACUGGGCGUAAAGCGUGCGCAGGCGGUUAUGUAAGACAGUUGUGAAAUCCCCGGGCUCAACCUGGGAACUGCAUCUGUGACUGCAUAGCUAGAGUACGGUAGAGGGGGAUGGAAUUCCGCGUGUAGCAGUGAAAUGCGUAGAUAUGCGGAGGAACACCGAUGGCGAAGGCAAUCCCCUGGACCUGUACUGACGCUCAUGCACGAAAGCGUGGGGAGCAAACAGGAUUAGAUACCCGGGUAGUCCCA